AUGCUUUCCCAUGCAGCUAGGUUAGAGCUUAUUCGGUCUGUUUUUUCUUCCAUUCCAGUCUAUUACAUGUCAAAUAUUUUGUUUACCAAAAAAUUUAUUUCCAAACUCACUUCUAUUAUCAGAACUUUUUGGUGGAUAGGAAUUAAGGAGGGCAAUUCUUCGGAAGGUCUUUGCCUUAGAGCAUGGAAGGAUAUAUGUACUUCUAAGGAGGAGGGAGGUUUGGGAAUAAGAAAUCUUCAAGCCAUGAACCAAGGUCUUAUUCUUGCCUCUUCUUGGAGACUUGCUAAUGCUCCCAACUCACAUUUGUCUCUUGUUCUCAAGUCUAAGUAUUUUCCGGAUUCUUCCAUAUGGACUGCUACUUCUAGCCCUCCAAAAUCAGCUUUCUGGUCAUCUAUUCUUAGAAUGCUCCCUAAACUCAAAGCUCAUUGGUUAUACCAUAUCACCCAAGGGAACAUUUCCAUUUGGAGUACCCCUUGA
RNAcentral lists this ribosomal RNA (477 nucleotides) under Triticum aestivum (bread wheat). RNAcentral's name for it is "partial small subunit ribosomal RNA". Lineage: Eukaryota; Viridiplantae; Streptophyta; Magnoliopsida; Poales; Poaceae. The record is from RNAcentral.